GGACCCGCACAAGCAGUGGAGUAUGUGGUUUAAUUCGAAGCAACGCGAAGAACCUUACCAGGUCUUGACAUCUGAGUGUAACAUGCAGAGAUGUGUGCCCUCUUCGGAGCACUCAAGACAGGUGGUGCAUGGUUGUCGUCAGCUCGUGUCGUGAGAUGUUGGGUUAAGUCCCGCAACGAGCGCAACCCUUGAUUUUAGUUGCCAGCAUUUAGUUGGGCACUCUAGAAUGACUGCCGGUGACAAACCGGAGGAAGGUGGGGAUGACGUCAAAUCAUCAUGCCCCUUAUGACCUGGGCUACACACGUACUACAAUGGCCGGUACAACGGGCUGCGAAACCGCGAGGUGGAGCCAAUCCCAGCAAAACCGGUCUCAGUUCGGAUUGCAGGCUGCAACUCGCCUGCAUGAAGUCGGAAUUGCUAGUAAUCGCGGAUCAGCAUGCCGCGGUGAAUACGUUCCCGGGUCUUGUACACACCGCCCGUCACACCACGAGAGUUUACAACACCCGAAGUCGGUGGGGUAACCCGCAAGGGAGCCAGCCGCCGAAGGUGGGGUAGAUGAUUGGGGUG
Molecule: ribosomal RNA, 567 nt
Filed under: uncultured bacterium
Lineage: Bacteria
Description: bacterial SSU rRNA
Rfam family: Bacterial small subunit ribosomal RNA
Source: RNAcentral